AACGAACGCUGGCGGCAUACUCAACACAUGCAAGUCGAACGAACCCUUCGGGGUUAGUGGCGCACGGGUGCGUAACGCGUGGGAAUCUGCCCUUUGCUACGGAAUAACAGUGAGAAAUUACUGCUAAUACCGUAUGAUGUCGUAAGACCAAAGAUUUAUCGGCAAAGGAUGAGCCCGCGUAGGAUUAGCUUGUUGGUGAGGUAAAAGCUCACCAAGGCGACGAUCCUUAGCNGGUCUGAGAGGAUGAUCAGCCACACUGGGACUGAGACACGGCCCAGACUCCUACGGGAGGCAGCAGUGGGGAGUAUUGGACAAUGGGCGAAAGCCUGAUCCAGCAAUGCCGCGUGAGUGAUGAAGGCCUUAGGGUUGUAAGCUCUUUUACCCGGGAUGAUAAUGACAGUACCGGGAGAAUAAGCUCCGGCUAACUCCGUGCCAGCAGCCGCCGU
Molecule: ribosomal RNA, 446 nt
Filed under: uncultured bacterium
Lineage: Bacteria
Description: bacterial SSU rRNA
Rfam family: Bacterial small subunit ribosomal RNA
Source: RNAcentral